CUUCCACCUUCUUCUCUCUCUCUCACUAGGGUUUUUUCUCUCUCUACAUAGAAAUCGCCGAAUUAGCUCGUUUUUGUCGCCUCGCCUGUUCUUCGCUGUUUGCGAGCGUCGCAGAGCUUCCGUGGACGUGUAAGAGAGUGUUCUGGAAGGUUUUUCGCAGCUCUGAACCAGUAGGGUGCUGGUUGGAAGCUUGAGAAGCUGAGAGAAAGGUGGAUUUGCUGCUGUAAUAGGGUCAGAUAUUGUUGAUUAACUCAGUUGGGACUGAGUUUAUGGUUUAAGAAGUAGGUUUCCGAGUUAAUUGAGCUCAUUUGGUGACCUUGGAAACUGGUUUAGAAGGUGUUCUAACCUGAGCAAAGGUGCAAUCGACCGUUGGAUUGCCUGCUGCUGACUUGUGAGCGCUUCUGGAGGUUAAACGUAAGAGCCAUCUACAGGAGAGGCUAGGGAUCGUGGUAAGGGA
This is a long non-coding RNA of Ananas comosus (pineapple), 457 nucleotides long. RefSeq lists it as uncharacterized. The record is from RefSeq and is a predicted model, not a curated record. NCBI's taxonomy places the organism in Eukaryota, Viridiplantae, Streptophyta, Magnoliopsida, Poales, Bromeliaceae. The transcript has 5 exons.